UUAAGUUAUUAAGGGCGCACGGUGGAUGCCUUGGCACUAGAAGCCGAUGAAGGACGUUACUAACGACGAUAUGCUUUGGGGAGCUGUAAGUAAGCUUUGAUCCAGAGAUUUCCGAAUGGGGAAACCCAGCAUGAGUUAUGUCAUGUUAUCGAUAUGUGAAUACAUAGCAUAUCAGAAGGCACACCCGGAGAACUGAAACAUCUUAGUACCCGGAGGAAGAGAAAGAAAAUUCGAUUCCCUUAGUAGCGGCGAGCGAAACGGGAAGAGCCCAAACCAACAAGCUUGCUUGUUGGGGUUGUAGGACACUCUAUACGGAGUUACAAAGGACGACAUUAGACGAAUCAUCUGGAAAGAUGAAUCAAAGAAGGUAAUAAUCCUGUAGUCGAAAAUGUUGUCUCUCUUGAGUGGAUCCUGAGUACGACGGAGCACGUGAAAUUCCGUCGGAAUCUGGGAGGACCAUCUCCUAAGGCUAAAUACUCUCUAGUGACCGAUAGUGAACCAGUACCGUGAGGGAAAGGUGAAAAGCACCCCGGAAGGGGAGUGAAAUAGAACCUGAAACCGUGUGCUUACAAGUAGUCAGAGCCCGUUAAUGGGUGAUGGCGUGCCUUUUGUAGAAUGAACCGGCGAGUUACGAUUUGAUGCAAGGUUAAGCAGUAAAUGUGGAGCCGUAGCGAAAGCGAGUCUGAAUAGGGCGUUUAGUAUUUGGUCGUAGACCCGAAACCAGGUGAUCUACCCUUGGUCAGGUUGAAGUUCAGGUAACACUGAAUGGAGGACCGAACCGACUUACGUUGAAAAGUGAGCGGAUGAACUGAGGGUAGCGGAGAAAUUCCAAUCGAACCUGGAGAUAGCUGGUUCUCUCCGAAAUAGCUUUAGGGCUAGCCUCAAGUGAUGAUUAUUGGAGGUAGAGCACUGUUUGGACGAGGGGCCCCUCUCGGGUUACCGAAUUCAGACAAACUCCGAAUGCCAAUUAAUUUAACUUGGGAGUCAGAACAUGGGUGAUAAGGUCCGUGUUCGAAAGGGAAACAGCCCAGACCACCAGCUAAGGUCCCAAAAUAUAUGUUAAGUGGAAAAGGAUGUGGCGUUGCCCAGACAACUAGGAUGUUGGCUUAGAAGCAGCCAUCAUUUAAAGAGUGCGUAAUAGCUCACUAGUCGAGUGACACUGCGCCGAAAAUGUACCGGGGCUAAACAUAUUACCGAAGCUGUGGAUUGUCCUUUGGACAAUGGUAGGAGAGCGUUCUAAGGGCGUUGAAGCAUGAUCGUAAGGACAUGUGGAGCGCUUAGAAGUGAGAAUGCCGGUGUGAGUAGCGAAAGACGGGUGAGAAUCCCGUCCACCGAUUGACUAAGGUUUCCAGAGGAAGGCUCGUCCGCUCUGGGUUAGUCGGGUCCUAAGCUGAGGCCGACAGGCGUAGGCGAUGGAUAACAGGUUGAUAUUCCUGUACCACCUAUAAUCGUUUUAAUCGAUGGGGGGGACGCAGUAGGAUAGGCGAAGCGUGCGAUUGGAUUGCACGUCUAAGCAGUAAGGCUGAGUAUUAGGCAAAUCCGGUACUCAUUAAGGCUGAGCUGUGAUGGGGAGAAGACAUUGUGUCUUCGAGUCGUUGAUUUCACACUGCCGAGAAAAGCCUCUAGAUAGAAAAUAGGUGCCCGUACCGCAAACCGACACAGGUAGUCAAGAUGAGAAUUCUAAGGUGAGCGAGCGAACUCUCGUUAAGGAACUCGGCAAAAUGACCCCGUAACUUCGGGAGAAGGGGUGCUCUUUAGGGUUAACGCCCAGAAGAGCCGCAGUGAAUAGGCCCAAGCGACUGUUUAUCAAAAACACAGGUCUCUGCUAAACCGUAAGGUGAUGUAUAGGGGCUGACGCCUGCCCGGUGCUGGAAGGUUAAGAGGAGUGGUUAGCUUCUGCGAAGCUACGAAUCGAAGCCCCAGUAAACGGCGGCCGUAACUAUAACGGUCCUAAGGUAGCGAAAUUCCUUGUCGGGUAAGUUCCGACCCGCACGAAAGGCGUAACGAUUUGGGCACUGUCUCAACGAGAGACUCGGUGAAAUCAUAGUACCUGUGAAGAUGCAGGUUACCCGCGACAGGACGGAAAGACCCCGUGGAGCUUUACUGUAGCCUGAUAUUGAAAUUCGGCACAGCUUGUACAGGAUAGGUAGGAGCCUUUGAAACGUGAGCGCUAGCUUACGUGGAGGCGCUGGUGGGAUACUACCCUAGCUGUGUUGGCUUUCUAACCCGCACCACUUAUCGUGGUGGGAGACAGUGUCAGGCGGGCAGUUUGACUGGGGCGGUCGCCUCCUAAAAGGUAACGGAGGCGCUCAAAGGUUCCCUCAGAAUGGUUGGAAAUCAUUCAUAGAGUGUAAAGGCAUAAGGGAGCUUGACUGCGAGACCUACAAGUCGAGCAGGGUCGAAAGACGGACUUAGUGAUCCGGUGGUUCCGCAUGUAAGGGCCAUCGCUCAACGGAUAAAAGCUACCCCGGGGAUAACAGGCUUAUCUCCCCCAAGAGUUCACAUCGACGGGGAGGUUUGGCACCUCGAUGUCGGCUCAUCGCAUCCUGGGGCUGUAGUCGGUCCCAAGGGUUGGGCUGUUCGCCCAUUAAAGCGGUACGCGAGCUGGGUUCAGAACGUCGUGAGACAGUUCGGUCCCUAUCCGUCGUGGGCGUAGGAAAUUUGAGAGGAGCUGUCCUUAGUACGAGAGGACCGGGAUGGACAUACCUCUGGUGUACCAGUUGUCGUGCCAACGGCAUAGCUGGGUAGCUAUGUGUGGACGGGAUAAGUGCUGAAAGCAUCUAAGCAUGAAGCCCCCCUCAAGAUGAGAUUUCCCAACUUCGGUUAUAAGAUCCCUCAAAGAUGAUGAGGUUAAUAGGUUCGAGGUGGAAGCAUGGUGACAUGUGGAGCUGACGAAUACUAAUCGAUCGAAGACUUAAUCAA
RNAcentral lists this ribosomal RNA (2922 nucleotides) under Staphylococcus aureus C3965. RNAcentral describes it as "bacterial LSU rRNA". It matches the Rfam family "Bacterial large subunit ribosomal RNA". Lineage: Bacteria; Bacillati; Bacillota; Bacilli; Caryophanales; Staphylococcaceae. The record is from RNAcentral.